UUCUAAUUCUCUGCUUCCAGUGAAAGUGGAGAACAAAGGAAGUGGAAGAGAUACACCCAAAGACCCAUCCUUCUAAUGUGGAAAUGAGUUUAGAAUGGUUUGGCAAAGACCUCUGUGAAUGGAGCCAGGUUGUGGAUCUGACUCUCCAGUUGAAUAUCUAUUCUUUCAGGUCAUUAUUUUUUGGAGUUUGCCUUUCUCUGCACAUCGUGCUCCACGAUCAGCCAAGAGCCCCCAGGACUCCAGGGCCAUUUCCACAGUACCUCCUCAUACAGGAAAUCCUGCUGCAGCUGUGGUGAUUGAAAAGCUUUUGAACAAACACUGGGAUGUGCUACCAGAGGUAUCAGAAGUGAAAGACUGACCAGGCAUUCAUCACAUGAGAAGAGGAAAACUCUUAGUGCCUAGCACAAUUUCUGCCUAAGACAUUAAUGCAAAAUGUACAGUUUGAUGAUAUGCAGUCAGAGGACUGGUACAGCCUGAAGGUACAACCAGUUAGAGUUCAUUCAAUCAGUGGGAGGGAAAAGACCUAUGCAUUAAUGUAGAAUGUGCUAUAAUCUGCAUUAACGUAGAUGCACUCUGAUCUAUGUUAGUGUAGACCACUAUAAAAAGAGGGCAGGAGGAAAAGGAAAUGUGCAUCAAACUGGGGAGUGGAAGAGGAGGUAGUACCAGAAGCACUCUUCCUAAGGAUGUUAAUUAUACAUUUUGCAGAUAUGUUUCAAAAAACUAAACAAGAAAACCAAAACCAACCAAUCAACCAAGAAAACCCCAAAACCCAGCAAAAAAUAGAAGUGUUGUUCUUUAAAACUUUGUAAACUGUUUUUGGACACAUUAAGUUUGUAUUUUGGGUGAUCAGUUUGUUGGAGAGCAGAAAGAAGUUAAUACAGACAGUUGAAGGAGGAAGGAGAAGUAAUAACAUUUAGCUCAUUGCCUUUUUGUUUAUCAUAUUCAUACAGUGUCUAGGACAGCUCAUUCUGACCAGAGAAAAGGUUGGCUGAUGGAGCACAGUGGGGAAGUUGCAGAUUUGCCACUUCCUCGCAGCAAGCAGCAAGCUCAGUGACUGAACAGGCAGUUGCUGUCCUGCUGCAUGUUCCUGUGCUGGCUCCCAGACCUAGUGUGUGCUGUAUACCUCACAAACAUCUCAUGAGAUGCCUUCUGAGAAUGACUCAGCCCACAAGAACCUGGGUGGCAAAAAAAUUCUCUCAGGAGGACGAAGGGGCCAACCAGCAGACACUCAUCCAGGUGAAGUGGUAGUGGUCUUCUGUGAUGGAGUGAACACACUCAUGGAUAAGGGAAAAGCUACAGAUCUGGGGCAAUAUUCCCCACAACAUCCUUUGCUCUAAAUGGGAGAGAAGUGGGUUUGAUGGAACUAUUCAAUGGAAGUGGAAUUGGUUGGACUGGCAUAUCUAGAUGGUAGUAGUCAAUGGCUUAAUGUCCCUAUGGGCCUCAGAGAAAAGUGGUGUUUCUUGGGGGCCCAUACUGGAACAAGUGCCAUCUUUGCCAAGGACAUAAGACAGAGGGAUCUAGUGCACCCUCAGCAAAAUUGGGGGUGACACCAUGUUGCAGAAUUUCUGAGAGAGAGAGGGCAUGAUUUAUGUCUGGAAUGAGAUUUGAGCUACUCCAGCCUAGGCCUCAGAUAUGGGCCUUGUGAGAACUUGAAAGCGUAUAACGCAGUAAGAAAAAGAGCUUGUGGCACAGUUAGAAAUUAUAUUAAGGUGUGGAUGUGACGCACACCUUUCUGGGUGUGAAUUAGUAUAGGUUUAUAGUGUGGAGUUUAGUCCACCUUAAGACAAAGACAAACAAUGUUAGCUUGCCAAUGAGAGUGCCUUUGUAAACCGUAAACUAUAUUGAAGUGUAUAUAAACUGCCAUCUUCUAACUAAUAAACGGAGAACGUUUGAUUGACCACAUUGGCCUGAUCUGUGUUUGUCCUGUCCAGUUUUCUAGUCUUACAAGGUCCCUGGCUUUGACACCAUGCUGAGCAGGAGGCAUAUAUGAGGAGUGUAAUGCCAUCAAGAGGGACCUGGACAAGCUCAACAAGUUGGCCCACAGGAACCUCAACAGCUUCAACAAAGCUGGGGUUACAGCUCAGAAAGCCAACUGUGUCCUGAGCUGCAUCACCAGCAACGUGGGCAGCAGGUGUGUCUUCACUCUGCUCUGUGAGACACCACCCGGAACAUUACAUCCAGCUCUGUGUCCUCCCAGCAUAGGAAGGACACGGACCUAUUAGAGUAAGUGCCGAGGAGGCCACCAAGAUGAUCAGAUGGAUGGAAUGCCUAUGCUAUGAGGGACAGGCAAGAGAACUGGGCUUGUUCAGUUUGGAGAAGAUAAGGCUCUGGGAGACCUUACAGCCCUUUCCGGUACCUAAAGGGGCUACAAGAGGGCUGGACAGGGACACUACAAAGAUCUAUAGUGAUAGAAGGGGAAAUGGCUUCAAACUGAGAGAAGACAGGGUUAGAUUAGAUGUUAGGAAGAAAUUCUUGAUUGUGAGGGUGCUGAAGCACUUGCAUAGCCUGCCUAAAGAAGCUGCAUCUGUCCCUUCCCUAGGAGUGUUCAAGGCCAGGUUGGACAGUGCUUGGACAACCUUGGACAAGGUGGCCCUGUCCACGGCACAGGGGUUGCAACUAGCUGGUCUUUAGUAUCCCUGAAAUCCCAAAGCAUUCUAUGAUUCUGGGAUUUCGGGUAAACCAAGUAGCUUUCCUCAUAUUGGUGACUCAUGCUGUUUACUGCAUGUUUCAACCUCCAGGCCAGCAAUUCUUCAAGAAACAUAAAAACUACAUUUCUCUUUCAAAAUCUCAAAAGAUAUUAUAAAGCUCCAUGCUUUCAAAUUUUUUUUUUUUUUUUACUAGAACAGUAAACCAUUAGUGUUGUGCAUAACAAGA
This 2874-nucleotide long non-coding RNA is filed under the name Taeniopygia guttata (zebra finch). Its description in RNAcentral is "lncRNA (ENSTGUG00000020296.1)". The record is from RNAcentral. Lineage: Eukaryota; Metazoa; Chordata; Aves; Passeriformes; Estrildidae.